RNAcentral lists this ribosomal RNA (229 nucleotides) under uncultured bacterium. RNAcentral describes it as "partial 16S ribosomal RNA". It matches the Rfam family "Bacterial small subunit ribosomal RNA", at positions 568 to 796 of the family's 1533-position model. The record is from RNAcentral.
UGCGUAGGCGGGCUAAUAAGUCAGUGGUGAAAUCUUCCGGCUCAACCGGGAACCUGCCAUUGAUACUGUUAGUCUUGAGUUCGGUUGAGGUAGGCGGAAUGUGUAAUGUAGCGGUGAAAUGCUUAGGUAUUACACAGAACACCAAUUGCGUAGGCAGCUUACUAGACCGACACUGACGCUGAGGCACGAAAGCGUGGGGAGCGAACAGGAUUAGAUACCCUGGUAGUCC